RNAcentral lists this long non-coding RNA (3697 nucleotides) under Marmota monax (woodchuck). Lineage: Eukaryota; Metazoa; Chordata; Mammalia; Rodentia; Sciuridae. The record is from RNAcentral.
UUAAAUUUGUGCAAUUCAUAUGGCCUCUCGUGACUUUGCAGAAGUCCACCUGCCACCUGGCCUGAGAGGAAUGAAGUGCUGACCCGUGUCCCAUGUGGAUGAACCCCGAAAACGUGACAAGUGGACGAAGCCAAGAGUUUCAGUCAGAUUUUCCGUCGCUGUGACUAAAAGGCCUGACAAGAAUGGUUUUUAGGAGGAAGAGUUUAUUUGGGGCUCCUGGCGUCAGAGGUCUGAGUGGAUGGCUGGCUCCAUUGCUCUGAGCCCACAGUGAGGCAGGACGUCAUGGCAGACGAAUGUAGUGAAGGGAGGCAGCUCAGGACAAGGCCACCAGGAAGGGGUGAGAAGAGGAAGGGAGAGUGCCCCUAGAGACCCACCUCCUCCAGGCACACCCCACCUGCCUGCGGCCACCACCCAGUGAGUCCACUCAAGUGGACAGAUGCACUGGACGGGUUAGGCGUCUCAACUUUAUCGUCUCACCUCUGAACUUUCUUGCAUUGCCUCCCACAUGAGCUUUUGGGGGACACCUCAUAUCUAAACCAUAACACCAGACCAAACCGCUUGCAGUCUCUGCGGAUUUGCCCUGCCGGACAUGUCUGGCCAGGCACUGUUCUAAUGCUUAGGGAGGCACCGUCCCUGCCCCAAAUCACGGGCUGAUGAGCGUAGGAGCCUGAGGCGGCCAGGAGGAUUAACCACGGCCUGGCACACCAGCCACCGCCGCCGGGGCGGAGUGGACUAAGGAGAUUUACCCUCCAGGUGAUGAGGAGGGGCCUCAAGGGUCAUGAGGCCUGUGGUGAGCGUGUGCCCGGCAUGCACCAAGGCCCUGGGCUCCACCCCAGCACCGAGGAAAAGAAAAAGGAGGAAAAAAUUCUUGUGAUAAGUCUGAAAAUCUCGUGAGCGUCCUGCUAAGUUUUGGGAGGAAACGCAGCCAGUGAACCCCGCCUCCCCAGCUCUUCCAGUUCCAGUUCCAGCUGAACUCAACAUCAGGGUAAAGGGGGCCAGAGGGAGAUGUACACCACCGUCCACUUCCGGUUGGGCUCAACCCCUGGAAUGAGCCCUCAGACCCCUGCUGGGGUGGUUCAGUUCUCUCUGCCACCUUAGUGGGCUCUGAGAUUCUCAGCUACUCAGACUUCAGAAGCAGGGGUUCUGUUGCUAGGUCACUCCGGGGCCACAGCCACGUAGCUCGUGGCAGCUUCCCGGGUCCACUCUCUGCUUGACUCCCUGACAGAACCCAGGCCUGGGGCCAAGGCCAAGGGAAAAUUUAGUCUCUCACCUGUGUCUCUAUGUGCGGAGCUGAGGAUGGAGCCCGGGCCUCACACUGCACCAGCCCUCUGGGGGGGUCUCAACGUUCAGCUGGCAGACACGACACUCUAUCCACUCCCCAGGGCUCCUGUACAACAGGGCGACACAAACUGGGUGCCUGGGAACAGCAGGAAGCAUUCCUCAUACAGUUCUUGAUGCCAGAAGUCCACCCCUGCCCCUGUCAACCUGUGGCAUUUGCCCCUUUGUGUGUCUGGGUGGCCCCUGGUCCUAAUGGACCAAGGCCCCUUUACAGCAGCAUGACCUUGUCUCGACUACUACAUUGGCCAUGACCCUAUUUCCAAUUUAGGUCACACUGUCUGAGGUAGUAGAGGUUAGGACUCCAACACAGGAAUGUCGGGGUGGGGUGCACAGUUCAGCCCGUGACCCGCACGUAUUGUGGGUUCAGUGCCAUCUGAGGAGCUGGGCGUGGUGGCUUGGGGAACCUACGUGGCACCUAUCCUGCUGGCUUCCUUCCUGCCCCUCUGCCGAGGGACAGGAGUGGUUUCUUGGCGCUGGCCAGCUUCUGCUUUGGAACUUGCAAGUGAGGUGAGGAGCUCAGUAAAUAUUUGUCAAAUGAAUAAAUGCAACUUAUGAUUGGCAGUUUGCCAACUUCUAUGGGCUUUUAUAAAAGAGAAGCUGUGGCCGUCCUCAUCUGAGCAACACCCAACAUGCAGGGAACAGAGUGGGGCCCUUUGUGUCCAGAUCACACAGAGCUGAGUGCCACAUGACAAGUGACAUGCCCAGCCCACAGUAGCCAGCAUGGGACCUGCUCUGUCCCACUCCCUCCUGGCAGAAGCCCUCAGAAAGGGCCCAAGACAAGGAGGCUGCACGAUGGGGCUCCCAGAUCUUCACCCACAUCACCCCCAGGAUGCAGAGGAAAGACCAGAGCAGGGAAGUGGCACUUGACUCCCUGCCCCAGAACGUCCCCAGCUCCAUUUGUGUCAAGGUGAGUCUGCAAGAAAUGCCAUGUGUCUGCAUCACUCUCAGUGAGCCAACACAGAUCAUCCCAGUGAUUUCAGUGUCCCAGUAAAAAUGUCAACGUGGGAAUUUUGUGAGAUAAGGAUCCACGUAGAAGGAACACUCAGACUGGGCCACCUGGGUUGGAUCGCGGGCCAGCGAGGUAGCACAGCUCCAGAGGGCCAGUGACCGCGGGAAGUGGUGACCAUCCCUGGGAGACCAAAUAACCUAACCCUGUUGUCCCUCCUUGCCCCACUUCUGGACGGGACUCUGCUGACCCAACACAACAGGUGGCCAUAGGGCCACAGGUGCCAUCGAUUGGCCUCUAGGAAUGCGGCAAGGUGGAGGAAGUGGAGGAGUCAGCAGGGGGUGGCACAUGGGCGUCUACUUGGGGGGGGGGAAUCUGGGCACAGCCCUCACCCAGGGGUCAAGACCCCAGAUUCCUGUUCCCUCCUGCUGGAGUCUCUCCACAAGGGUGAUGUGAGGAAGAUCCUGGUUGCCGAGGGCCAGUCCUGAGAGGAUGAAGGGAAAAGGGAAGGGGACCCUAGGGAAUCAGCUAGGAAUCACAGAAGACCACCAUAUGGCUGGAUUGUAUCCCCACAAAAUCUCAAGCCCCAGCCCCUAGAACCUUAGCAUGGGGUCAUGGGAUGUAAUUAAAUGAGGUUGCUAUGGUGGGCUCUGAUCCAGCCUGGUGUCCCCAUAAGAAACCAGAUGAGGACACACACCCACAGGGCAGAUCAUGUGAAGACACAGCAGGAGACAUGUGAAGACAACACAGACGAGGAGGGAGGCCUGAACAGAUCCUGCCUUGGGCCUGGGAGGAGCUGCCCUGCUCACCCUCCACCUGGACUUCUGUCCGCCAUGACUAUAAGACAAUUGGUAUCUGUGGCUUGAGCCGGGGUGUGCUGAGUCACCAAGCUCCAGGACCCCACCUCCACUUGGGGGAUACAGGCCCUGGUGCAGUCCCCUCCCAUGUGGAGGCGGAGCUGCUGUCUGGAGUGAUAGAUGGGGCAGGGGUGACAGUAUAUCCUCUGAGGCUAGGUCACCAAGGCCUCUGCAGCUUCCUGGCUCUGGAGGAACUGGCUGCACAUUGCAAGGACACUCAAGUGGCUGGCAGAGGUCAUGUCCAGGACCAGCACCAACCCUCCAGCCACGGGAGCAGAUCCCUGGCCCAGCUAACACUGGAGGGCCAUCUCCUGGCUGCCUGACACAGCCGCACAGCUCGGCCCCCGAGACUGCGAGAGAGCAAGUGUUGUCCGUGUCUUAAGCACCAGGUCUCCGGGUGUUUUGCCACAUGGCAGGGGAGAGCUGGCAGAGACCUGCCGUGCCCAAGCCACUUUAUAGCCAACGCCACACCUUGACCGCCCUGUCAAGGACGGAAGGAAGGAGCCAGGCCCAAGAUGACUCCGAGAAGGCACAUUAGCACUCCAUGGGGACGAGG